RNAcentral lists this ribosomal RNA (465 nucleotides) under Vreelandella stevensii. RNAcentral's name for it is "partial 16S ribosomal RNA". It matches the Rfam family "Bacterial small subunit ribosomal RNA", at positions 338 to 795 of the family's 1533-position model. Lineage: Bacteria; Pseudomonadati; Pseudomonadota; Gammaproteobacteria; Oceanospirillales; Halomonadaceae. The record is from RNAcentral.
CCUACGGGGGGCAGCAGUGGGGAAUAUUGGACAAUGGGGGGAACCCUGAUCCAGCCAUGCCGCGUGUGUGAAGAAGGCCCUCGGGUUGUAAAGCACUUUCAGUGAGGAAGAACGCCUGGUGGUUAAUACCCAUCAGGAAAGACAUCACUCACAGAAGAAGCACCGGCUAACUCCGUGCCAGCAGCCGCGGUAAUACGGAGGGUGCGAGCGUUAAUCGGAAUUACUGGGCGUAAAGCGCGCGUAGGUGGCUUGAUAAGCCGGUUGUGAAAGCCCCGGGCUCAACCUGGGAACGGCAUCCGGAACUGUCAAGCUAGAGUGCAGGAGAGGACGGUAGAAUUCCCGGUGUAGCGGUGAAAUGCGUAGAGAUCGGGAGGAAUACCAGUGGCGAAGGCGGCCUUCUGGACUGACACUGACACUGAGGUGCGAAAGCGUGGGUAGCAAACAGGAUUAGAUACCCUUGUAGUC